CAAUAGCGUAUAUUAAAGCUGUUGCGGUUAAAAAGCUCGUAGUUGGAUUUCUGUCAAGGACAACUGGUCCGCCCCUCGGGUGAGCACAUAGUUUGGUCUUGGCAUCUUGUUGGAAACUGUUGCUGCACUUGGUUGUGUGGCGCAGUGUCCAGCACUUUCACUUUGAGGAAAUUGGAGUGUUUCAAGCAGGCACAUGCCUUUGGACACAGUAGCAUGGAAUAAUUAGAUUGGGCUUUUGCUCCAACUUGUCGGUUUCUGGAGCUGAGGUGAGAAUUAAUGGGGAUUGUUGGGGGCAUCCGAAUUUAGCCGUCAGAGGUGAAAUUCUUGGAUCUGCUAAAGACGGACAACUGCGAAAGCGUUUGCCCAGGAUGUUUUCGUUGA
This 381-nucleotide ribosomal RNA is filed under the name uncultured eukaryote. Its description in RNAcentral is "partial 18S ribosomal RNA". It matches the Rfam family "Eukaryotic small subunit ribosomal RNA", at positions 592 to 976 of the family's 1831-position model. The record is from RNAcentral.